Molecule: ribosomal RNA, 481 nt
Filed under: uncultured bacterium
Lineage: Bacteria
Description: partial 16S ribosomal RNA
Rfam family: Bacterial small subunit ribosomal RNA
Source: RNAcentral
GAACGCUGGCGGCAGGCCUAACACAUGCAAGUCGAGCGGAUGAAGGGAGCUUGCUCCUGGAUUCAGCAGCGGACGGGUGAGUAAUGCCUAGGAAUCUGCCUGGUAGUGGGGGAUAACGUCCGGAAACGGGCGCUAAUACCGCAUACGUCCUGAGGGAGAAAGUGGGGGAUCUUCGGACCUCACGCUAUCAGAUGAGCCUAGGUCGGAUUAGCUAGUUGGUGGGGUAAAGGCCUACCAAGGCGACGAUCCGUAACUGGUCUGAGAGGAUGAUCAGUCACACUGGAACUGAGACACGGUCCAGACUCCUACGGGAGGCAGCAGUGGGGAAUAUUGGACAAUGGGCGAAAGCCUGAUCCAGCCAUGCCGCGUGUGUGAAGAAGGUCUUCGGAUUGUAAAGCACUUUAAGUUGGGAGGAAGGGCAGUAAGUUAAUACCUUGCUGUUUUGACGUUACCAACAGAAUAAGCACCGGCUAACUUCGUG